UGGGGAAUCUUGCGCAAUGCGCGAAAGCGUGACGCAGCAACGCCGCGUGGGGGAAGAAGGCCUUCGGGUUGUAAACCUCUUUCAGUUGGGACGAAGGUUCGGUCGGUGAAUAGCCGGCCGGACUGACGGUACCUUCAGAAGAAGCCCCGGCUAACUACGUGCCAGCAGCCGCGGUAAUACGUAGGGGGCAAGCGUUGUCCGGAAUCAUUGGGCGUAAAGCGCGUGUAGGCGGCCCGAUAAGUCCGCCGUGAAAGUCCAGGGCUCAACCCUGGGAUGCCGGUGGAAACUGUCGGGCUAGAGUCCGGAAGAGGCGAGUGGAAUUCCUGGUGUAGCGGUGAAAUGCGCAGAUAUCAGGAGGAACACCAAUGGCGAAGGCAGCUCGCUGGGACGGUACUGACGCUGAGACGCGAAAGCGUGGGGAGCAAACAGGAUUAGAUACCCGCGUAGUCC
Molecule: ribosomal RNA, 450 nt
Filed under: uncultured bacterium
Lineage: Bacteria
Description: bacterial SSU rRNA
Rfam family: Bacterial small subunit ribosomal RNA
Source: RNAcentral